UUCUCUCUUUAUCGGGCAGUGUACAUGCCGCUCUCUCUCUCAUUCUCACAUUCGUUGUCGCCUCAGCUGCUUCAUCGUGGCGCUGCAGGAGAUGAGGGAGCCCAAAAGCCUCACAUAACGUGAACAAGGAGCAUGAAGAGGUUCUACGCUCCAAACCCUCUAUCCUUGCCCUCAGCGAUGAGCUCGAUAAGCUCCGGCAACCUCUCGCCACCGCUCUCUCCAAAGAGCUCCAAAUCAACGGCACAUCUUCUUAAAACCCUCACCAUGAGACUGAGACCGAAAACGAAACCUUAGUUGAGAGCUCUGACUCGAUUGAGCCGAACUCGAACUCGAGGAACGACAUCGUUGUGGAGGACCUGCUUAAUUUUCUCUAUUUUGGUUCAUUUUUCGAUGUGAAGAGUGACUUUGUGUCCAUGAUGCUUACCAAAACGCAUGAGCGUGGCUGCUGCUUGACCUAUGACUACGUCACCAACGACGCCACCGAUCUGCUCGGCGAGAAGGACUUGGACUCGAUCUCUAGACUAAGAGGGUUGCUCGUUUCGCGGCCCGCGGAUUCGAGCUUUUCACACAAGAACGCGCUGCACCGCUGCGUGGAACAUGCCAAGCUGUGGCUUGCUAAGUCGGAGCAGCCCAUUGGGCCUAAUGCUGAUGUUACUUAUGCUGCAUUAAGGGAGAAGUUGAACAAUAUUAUGUCUUCGGAGUACUUUACUACCACACCUGAGAUGAAGGCUCCGGUUGAAGUUGAUGUGGCGGCUGCUGGGGGCAAUUACGUUUCCUUCCAUGUGCCGGUGCAUGGGUUUGUGGUUCCGGUUGAAGUGGAGCAGCCUGUUUUUCAAUCUCAGGAGAAGGUAAGAGUGUGUUUGUAAUUUGAAUGUUUGUUGGAUAGAAUGUUGUUGGGAAGAAAGCUUGCUUGAUGAUGCUAUUGCAGACUUCAUUAUCAAUCUUCUCUUUGCGGGAAAUGAAACAACCACCAAAACAAUGCUCUUUGCAGUCUAUUUCCUUACUCAAUGUCCUAGAGCCAUGAAGCAACUGCUGUUUUUCUCUUGGACAGGAUGAACAUGAUUGCUUUGUGGUUCCAUUUCUUUCAGCAGUCCAUUUAGAUGAGAAUGUAUACAGUGGAGCUCUAAAUAUUAAUCCUUGGAGAUGGAUGGAACCUGAAAACGAGGAAAAGAGAAAUUGGAGAACUAGUCCAUUCUAUGCACCCUUUGGAGGAGGGGCUAGAUUCUAUCCAGGAGCAGAGUUGGCUUGCCUAUAAAUUGCUUUUUUUUCUUCAUUACUUCGUAACUACCUACAGAAUUUCAAGAGGACGUCUUGCACAACUGUGCUUACUCUAGCUUACCAAAGUCUUGGAGUAGUAUAUGGUGACCUCAGUAGUGCCCUUAUUUAUGUUUACAAGACCACAUUCUCAGGGAAAUUAAGCCUCAAAGAAGACAAUGAAGGAAUUUUUGGGGUGCUUUCAUUUAUCUUCUGGACAUUUACCAUUAUUGGUCUCUUCAAAUAUGUUUUCAUUGUGAUGUCUACUGAUGACAAUGGGGAAGGUAGAAUCUCACUACUUGAUUCUUGUGUUUUAGAUUAUUAUGGAAUGUGUCUAUCCAGCUCCAUCCUUUCAAGUCUUAAGGCUACUAUUUGGCACUUCCUUCCAGUGAAGCCAAGCCAAUGAUAACUAUUUGGGAAGGAUGCACAACUUUGUAAUCACAGUGUUUCCCAGGAAAAAAAAUCACUCCACUAACUUUUGGAUAUUUGUCUGUCAUGCAUGUCACAUGAAAUCACAGAAUGACAAAAGCAUAGUCUAUAACUAUGCUACUAUGGUGAUAUUUUUAGACUUAUGAGUUAGUAAGGUGAGUUGAUAUGUUAAGGUCAUAAAAUCAAUUCUAUUGCUCAUGCUUUGCCAUUUUGUGACAGAGACACCCGCCUGCACCUUUGGCAGGGGAGGGUGUUGCUUGCCUAGUUGCCUUCCUGUGUUAUUGGUUUAUUCAUGGACAACAUUCUCAAUUUAUUAUUUGGGAUUUUCUUAAAUAAAUUAGGAAGCAUUGUCAUUUAACUGCUAUGUUAUUUCUAAAUAUCUAAUUUUCAUUUAAGAAAAAGACAGAGAUCUUGGCUAAAGCUAGAAAUCUGCUUCUAGAAUGUGACUUUUCAAUUCCUCAAGAGUAUACAAGGGAUGGUUCUGUUUGGAAGAGUGAUGAAACUUCUGCCGAGUUAUCUAGCCAUGUGGUAGAUUUGCUUUUCUUAUCAGAGAGGUUUCUAGUAUUCAAAGCAGCCAGGAGCUAGUUCAUCAGACAUUGAAGGUAUACAAUCUAGAAUAAUCAAAAUAUUUUACACUAUGCAGCAUAUUUUAUUUGAAAUACAAACUGUGGACUAUAUAUAUAUAUACUGUUUCAAUCAGUAGAUGUAUGCUAGUUUUACCAGGUCUAAAGUUUGCGUAAAUCAAUUUUAUUUCUUGCUUAUGUUCUUCUAAUUUGCCUAAUUUCGUGAUUUUAUGUUCUAUGCAUCUAAUACACAAGUAAUAAAACAAAUUAAAUUAUUUAUAUCACUAUUGUAAAAAGUAAUAAAUAGGUAGUGAAAAGAAAAAGAAAAGCUGCCCCUUUCACUGUUGAAAGCAACAAAUGCUAGCUGUCUCAACGUGGAGAGAAAACUUAAGUUGAAAAAUUGGUUCCAAAAAGGUCACUAGUUACUCUAGAUUCUUUUAACUAAUUUAUAUCUUUUUAAAAAAAUAAUUAAUUUAAUUAAUUAUAUUAAAUUUUUUGGUUAUUUAUAU
Molecule: RNA transcript, 2755 nt
Organism: Glycine soja
Lineage: Eukaryota; Viridiplantae; Streptophyta; Magnoliopsida; Fabales; Fabaceae
Exons: 7
Source: RefSeq, a predicted model, not a curated record